This 753-nucleotide long non-coding RNA is filed under the name Microcebus murinus (gray mouse lemur). Its description in RNAcentral is "lncRNA (ENSMICG00000048207.1)". Lineage: Eukaryota; Metazoa; Chordata; Mammalia; Primates; Cheirogaleidae. The record is from RNAcentral.
AGCGACCUCCGCGUUCAGGACACCUGUCGGGGCUGGGGGUCCAGGACACCUGCCGGGGCUGGGGGUCCCGUUUGCAAACGCCUUCCCUGCUUCCCACCCGGAGAGGAGGAGCUCUGCGACUGAGGGGAAGGGCCCGGUUGGAUAGCAAGAGCUAAUACGGGGACACCUCAAUCAAAGAGGGGCUCGAUCCACAGACUCGGGUCACUGCCAUCUUGGGUCCACCCUCCUCCCUGAGGAGCCCGGAUCUGCAGGAGUGCACUUGUUUUGCUGAAGAAGCCGCCAUACAUCAUCGUUUAUCAGGAGGGAGCGAGUAUUCUCCAUGUGAAAGGACAAAGGGCUGGCCUUGACCUAGUCAGGGUGGCUUGAGUGCCUGGAAGUGCAGGUGACAAAGGGAUCGGGCAGGGACAGUUCAGCUACCACCAGCCAACGAUACCCCCUCCCUCCAGGGCCUCGCCAGCUCUGGUCCCGCAUACGGACGCCAAACGCAGAUGACAGCCUGAAAACAAUUUGUCCGGUCGGUGAGUAAUGUCUAGUAACUAAAUGCCAAUUAAUUUGCUGUUGCAUUUGAGUUAAUUUAUGAGGUGUUCUCUUCACCAAGUAAAUUUUAAUUAAGAAGAGUAAAACAAAUGACAAAGUAAUUUCCAAAAAAUUAAUUUUCGGUAAACACAAGCCAUUGUUUUUCUUUGUAUCAAUAAUAAAAGUUAAAAUGAAGCCUCCUUAAUGCUCCCUCCCCCAACUACCUCGCUUCUAAGG